RNAcentral lists this unclassified non-coding RNA (164 nucleotides) under soil metagenome. RNAcentral describes it as "partial internal transcribed spacer 1". The record is from RNAcentral.
CAAGAAACGAGGUCCCGCGUGCGCUCGCCCCCGCCCGGCCCCGCUCCUUACCCUUGCCUACUGCACCGUUUGUUGCUUCCUGGCGGCGGACUGCCCGCCGCCAGGGACGUUGAUACAACCCUGUAUAGAAGCAUUGAAGCUCUGAGGAAAACGCGAAAUCGUAC